UACAGAGGUCCCAAGCGUUGUUCGGAUUCACUGGGCGUAAAGGGUGCGUAGGCGGUCGGGUAAGUCUGAUGUGAAAUCUCACAGCUUAACUGUGAAACUGCAUUGGAUACUAUUCGGCUUGAGAGUUGGAGGGGGGACUGGAAUUCUUGGUGUAGCAGUGAAAUGCGUAGAUAUCAAGAGGAACACCAGUGGCGAAGGCGAGUCCCUGGACAACUUCUGACGCUGAGGCACGAAAGCUAGGGGAGCGAACGGG
RNAcentral lists this ribosomal RNA (253 nucleotides) under uncultured bacterium. RNAcentral's name for it is "partial 16S ribosomal RNA". It matches the Rfam family "Bacterial small subunit ribosomal RNA", at positions 524 to 776 of the family's 1533-position model. The record is from RNAcentral.